This 435-nucleotide ribosomal RNA is filed under the name uncultured bacterium. Its description in RNAcentral is "partial 16S ribosomal RNA". It matches the Rfam family "Bacterial small subunit ribosomal RNA", at positions 29 to 507 of the family's 1533-position model. The record is from RNAcentral.
AGCGAACGCUGGCGGCAGGCUUAACACAUGCAAGUCGAGCGGGCAUCUUCGGAUGCCCGCGGCAGACGGGUGAGUAACACGUGGGAACGUACCCUUCGGUUCGGAACAACUCUGGGAAACUGGAGCUAAUACCGGAUACGCCCUUAUGGGGAAAGGUUUACUGCCGAAGGGUCGGCCCGCGUCUGAUUAGCUAGUUGGUGGGGUAACGGCCUACCAAGGCGACGAUCAGUAGCUGGUCUGAGAGGAUGAUCAGCCACACUGGGACUGAGACACGGCCCAGACUCCUACGGGAGGCAGCAGUGGGGAAUAUUGGACAAUGGGCGCAAGCCUGAUCCAGCCAUGCCGCGUGAGUGAUGAAGGCCUUAGGGUUGUAAAGCUCUUUUGUCCGGGACGAUAAUGACGGUACCGGAAGAAUAAGCCCCGGCUAACUUCGUG